CAAACCCGUCGCGAUAGCGACGCGACUCCGCCACAAACCUAAGGAGAGGAAAUCUCGCGAUGAGGGAUUCUAGCGUCUCCAGCGUAAGCAACGCAGCUCAGAGCCAGGGCCCGCACGCCGUGUGGGGUCCCGCGACCUUUGCUCACCGCAGAAGCCCCGCCCACAAAGCUGGUCCCGCCCUGGCCGCCGCGAGUACCGUUACCGCCCCCGCUGCCCCGGCUACUAACUUUACAAGCCCUACGUGUACCCCACGCGUAACUUGUUUCUCGGCUUCUCUGAUUGGCCUGCAUUCCUUGCUCAGACCCAGCAUCCUUUCACCUGAGAGUUCACUCCGCGUCCCUAGUCAAAGGCGAGAACUCUGGGAAUGGAGCUGA
Molecule: long non-coding RNA, 374 nt
Filed under: Bos mutus (wild yak)
Lineage: Eukaryota; Metazoa; Chordata; Mammalia; Artiodactyla; Bovidae
Description: lncRNA (ENSBMUG00000000924.1)
Source: RNAcentral